GGAGUUGCAGCGAUGAGACAGGACUGUAACUACCAAUUGGAUAACUGGGAUAAAUUGGGGAGAAAAAGGGGUAAAAAAUAUAAAAUAAUAAUAAUCAUUAGGUGAGACACAAAAUUUCAGCUGGCCUUUUAAGGGAAGGGCUGUUAACAUGGUAACUUGGGCACUCCCUGGUCUGUGAUUUAAAAUAAAAUCUCAGACUGCAAUGUCUUCCUAGCAGCAGACAGUUGCAACAAACUCAAACUAACAUUGAAAAAGUAUGUGAACAAACUGAUUUAACUGGCCAAGAAACACGAGAACAAAGUCACACUUUAGUAGCCUUUCUUGUCAUUUCGACCUGCUUCUUUCCUAAACGUGGGCUUUGGAUUUUUUAAUUUUUUUUAUUCCCAAAUGCUCUGUGUGACCACCUGCCAACGUGGCUGGUGGAAUAUUACAUUCAUACAAAAUCUACCCUCAUUUGGCUGGUGUUAAUUUCCAACUCUGGUGACAAUAUUAUCAAAUUGAGAAUGAAGAGACUGAUGACAAUGCAUUGACUAAGAAGGGAACAGAGCUUACCAAAUAGCACUUCUUUCAUAUGCUCCUACAGAAGUCGAUGCAGGACAGACGUUUUGAUUGCUAUACCCUAUCGGAAAGAGAAGAUUCCAAGGUUUCUAAUGAACCUAUUUUUGCCAAACAACUCUACAAAUUGUGCUGAUGGUCUCUCUGUUUCAUAACUCUUUCUAGAAUAACCAUGGCUCCAUGCCCAUGUGAGUACCGGUUACAAUCAGCAACAGCUAUUUGGGAUUUUAUUUUUCUGUUCUAUUCCAUUAUAUGUUUACUGUAAAAUAUGUGUUGACUGUGGUAGGGCAUGGCGCAGCCAUAGAUUUGCAUGGCACAGCCAUGCACAGAUAAAUACAAUUAUGUAAUCACUAAUUGUGAAUGAAGAACAGGGUGGGCCAUUCUAUUGUAUUAGUAUUUUCUAAUUAUACUCUCAAAAGAGUUGACCCUUUACCAGUCCACCAAAUCCAAGCAGUCUUAUUAGUUUGCUCUAGGCCUACUUGGAGUAGGUUACACAGUGAGAGCGUGUGUCAUUUACAAUGAGAAGACCAAGACGAAUGGGUGGACAUGCUACAAGAUUUGAAUGAAAACGACUUGGAUGGCGCGGAAGAAAUGGAUCGUGACCAUCUCUGAUUAUCCUUCUGAUUUGUGCUGAACGGCUUUCCAUAUCUGGGAAAAUAUCCAUAUCGGGCAGCAGGUGGGCGAGUGUUGGAUAAUGUGAUGAUGCUUGUGGAAUCUUACAUUGGCAAGGGGCGAAAUGUCACCAUGGACAAUUUCUUCAUUGUCAUUGACGAACAAGUUGCUUGCAAGAAAACAAGCCCGGUCGGCACCAUGAACAAAGGAGAUGGGAGCUCCCUCCCUUAGUGCAAAAUAAGGCAACUGCACAGUAACAGUUCCCCACAACCUAGUUAAAUAAAGGUUAAAUAAAUAAAUAUUCAAACAGUGCUUCAGAAUGGCAAGCCAACACUCACACAUUACCAAGGCAAGAAAUAACAUUUGAGUCUUGAGCACCAUGCAUCCGACAGUUGCCAUUGAUCGGGACACAACGAGAAAACCGGAGACUAUUACACACUACAACGAACAAAGGUCGGUGUGGAUGUUUUGGAUCAGAUGGCACGGCUGUACUCGGUGAAAGGUGGAACUCGCCGCUGGCUUGCUGCUGUGUUCUACAACCUGCUUGACUUGGCUGCUGUCAACGCACACGUGGUGUUCAAGCAGUAAUUGAACAAAACCAUGAGCAGGAGAGACUUUAUCUGGCACACGGGCUACGUGAGAGACAUAUGAGGGCCAAGGCAGCAGCAAAGAUUCCACGCGAGCCAUUGCGCAAGCAAAAUUGCAUACAGCUCCCGGGGGAAGAGAAACUGCCAGGUGGGCAGAUGCACUCGGAACAGAACCCGCGACACCCGUUUCAGCUGAAAGUGACUUGUUUGUGGGAAGUGUUGCAAGUGAAAGUGACAACGAUUUGUGUCGACUGUUAGGACAAGGGAUUGUUAUCUCAUUUAGGACAAGGGAUUGUUAUCCCUAAAUGAGAUCCAACUGUUGCGUGAAGACGCACACCAUACUGUAAGCACGAGCGAAGCAAAAAAUAAUGUGUCCAAUAACUAUUAUAUAACUAAUAUACUAUUUUGACCGCUGUCAUAUGGACACUUAAAUUCAUUAUAAUUCCAUUAUAACUUUUGUGCUGAUUUUCACUAUUCACACCCACACUUGGCACUUAUACUGAUGUUUAGGCUACUGAUAUUUUCUUCAUUGACUGCGCAUCUUGCUGACCGUGCGUCUUGGUUUGGGUAUUUUUAUUUGUUUUGUCGUUAUAAAAAUAAGCUUUUACUGUGUUCUAACGUAUAAUAUUUUUGAUUCAUAGUUGUAACAAAGGCACUCUACAAAUAAAAUGUAAUUGACACUUGAAA
Molecule: long non-coding RNA, 2441 nt
Organism: Salvelinus namaycush (lake trout)
Lineage: Eukaryota; Metazoa; Chordata; Actinopteri; Salmoniformes; Salmonidae
Exons: 2
Source: RefSeq, a predicted model, not a curated record